This 425-nucleotide ribosomal RNA is filed under the name uncultured bacterium. Its description in RNAcentral is "bacterial SSU rRNA". It matches the Rfam family "Bacterial small subunit ribosomal RNA", at positions 356 to 773 of the family's 1533-position model. The record is from RNAcentral.
GGGGAAUUUUGGACAAUGGGGGCAACCCUGAUCCAGCCAUUCCGCGUGAGUGAAGAAGGCCUUCGGGUUGUAAAGCUCUUUCGGCAGGAACGAAACGGCGAGCUCUAACAUAGCUCGCUAAUGACGGUACCCGAAGAAGAAGCACCGGCUAACUACGUGCCAGCAGCCGCGGUAAUACGUAGGGUGCGAGCGUUAAUCGGAAUUACUGGGCGUAAAGCGUGCGCUGGCGGUUGUGUAAGACAGGUGUGAAAUCCCCGGGCUCAACCUGGGAGCUGCGCUUGUGACUGCACGGCUAGAGUAUGGCAGAGGGGGGUGGAAUUCCACGUGUAGCAGUGAAAUGCGUAGAGAUGUGGAGGAACACCGAUGGCGAAGGCAGCCCCCUGGGCCAAUACUGACGCUCAUGCACGAAAGCGUGGGGAGCAAAC